AUCCAGCUGACUACUCACAAAUAAGACGAAACGCACGUCCUGGAU
Molecule: non-coding RNA, 45 nt
Filed under: Schistosoma haematobium
Lineage: Eukaryota; Metazoa; Platyhelminthes; Trematoda; Strigeidida; Schistosomatidae
Source: RNAcentral